AGAGUUUGAUCCUGGCUCAGAUUGAACGCUGGCGGCAUGCCUUACACAUGCAAGUCGAACGGCAGCACGGGAGUAAUCCUGGUGGCGAGUGGCGAACGGGUGAGUAAUAUAUCGGAACGUGCCCAGUCGUGGGGGAUAACGCAGCGAAAGCUGUGCUAAUACCGCAUACGAUCUCUGGAUGAAAGCGGGGGACUCGCAAGAGCCUCGCGCGAUUGGAGCGGCCGAUAUCAGAUUAGCUAGUUGGUGGGGUAAAAGCUCACCAAGGCGACGAUCUGUAGCCGGCCUGAGAGGGUGAUCGGCCACACUGGAACUGAGACACGGUCCAGACUCCUACGGGAGGCAGCAGUGGGGAAUUUUGCGCAAUGGACGAAAGUCUGACGCAGCAACGCCGCGUGGGUGAUGAAGGUCUUCGGAUUGUAAAACCCUGUCGUCAGGGACGAAGGUUGGGAUCCUAAUACGAUUUCAGCUUGACGGUACCUGGAGAGGAAGCCCCGGCUAACUCUGUGCCAGCAGCCGCGGUAAUACGGGGGGGGCAAGCGUUAUUCGGAAUUAUUGGGCGUAAAGGGCGCGUAGGCGGUUUUGUAAGUAGGAUGUGUAAUCCCCGAGCUCAACUUGGGAACUGCAUCCUAGACUGCAAGGCUAGAGUACUGGAGAGGGUGGUAGAAUUCCACGUGUAGCGGUGAAAUGCGUAGAGAUGUGGAGGAAUACCAGUGGCGAAGGCGGCCACCUGGACAGUAACUGACGCUGAGGCGCGAAAGCUAGGGGAGCGAACAGGAUUAGAUACCCUGGUAGUCC
RNAcentral lists this ribosomal RNA (795 nucleotides) under uncultured bacterium. RNAcentral describes it as "bacterial SSU rRNA". It matches the Rfam family "Bacterial small subunit ribosomal RNA", at positions 8 to 796 of the family's 1533-position model. The record is from RNAcentral.